CCUGCUCAGAGCAGGGCAAGCUUCAAAGUCAGGUUGCUUGGGUUCUUAAUGGAAAUCUCCAAGGUGGUGGCUUCUCCCUGAGCCCCUGUGGAAGGUAGUGCCACAUUUGCUGGAUUUUCUUCCUUCUACCCAAGCAGUAUUUCCUAUCACAGAAUUGUAGGGGUUGGAAGGGACCUCUAGAGAUCAUCGAGUCCAACCCCCCAAAAAAGGCCUUACUUCAGCCUUGCCUGAAACAUUCAUCUGCUAAUUCGUUAUCUAUUUGUUUCUAUAUGAAAGCAAGAAAUUUAUCUAAAAACACAGUGUGGAAAAACUACCUGGCAUCACUGAGAAUAAUAUUUUUCCCAGAGUUGGCCAAGUUCUGAUGUGCUACAGCCAGCUCCCGUUCACUUUUGUCCUUUCUCUGUGUGCUUCAGAGGAGAGCUGUUUGCUUUUUCCCCUUAAAUCUCCUGGCUGGGAGCAGAAAACCGCUGUCAGGCCCUUUUUCUAUACCUGACAUUUCAACCGCACAGCCUCAUGGGCUGCAGCGAGCACCUGGAGCUGCAGCAGUGAGAUCCUGAGCUCCCUUUAUCCCUACAGGAAUGCAAAAAAACACCCCGGCCCCCCCCCCAUGGGCAUGCCACCGAGAGGGCCUCAUUUUGGGUCGCCUAUGGGUCACCCUGGCCCCAUGCCGCACCAUGGGAUGCGUGGCCCUCCUCCACUGAUGCCUCCCCACGGGUACAGCGGCCCCCCUCGCCCCCCGCCGUAUGGCUAUCAGAGAGUCCCCCUCCCCCCCCGGCCGGCUCAGAGACCCCCUGGGGUGCCCCCACGUGGGCCUCUGAGAGGCCCCCUGCCCUAAAGGCCAUCGGGGCCAAACUGUGCUGCCGUGAGUCCUUCUUUCAGGCUGACAUUCACCCUUGGGCUGAUGUACCUCUGCCCAGAGGGAAGAGGUGUAGUUGGAUCCAUCCCUCUCACAGUUCUCCCUCUCUUUUUUUCUCCUCCUCCUCUUUUUCCUCAUUUGUUUUUGUAGCAUUUAUUUUGUUAUUUUUCUUCCUCCCUCUUUUUGAAGAUUUUUCACAGUAACUUCAACAGGAUUUUUUUUUUCCCCAUGUAAAGCAAUGAUUGCUCGUUUACAAAUAAAACAUUUUAAGAACAGGAGGCUGUCCCUCUG
RNAcentral lists this long non-coding RNA (1147 nucleotides) under Chrysolophus pictus (golden pheasant). RNAcentral's name for it is "lncRNA (ENSCPIG00010010220.1)". Lineage: Eukaryota; Metazoa; Chordata; Aves; Galliformes; Phasianidae. The record is from RNAcentral.